RNAcentral lists this ribosomal RNA (679 nucleotides) under Cronobacter sakazakii. RNAcentral describes it as "bacterial SSU rRNA". It matches the Rfam family "Bacterial small subunit ribosomal RNA", at positions 1 to 668 of the family's 1533-position model. The record is from RNAcentral. Lineage: Bacteria; Pseudomonadati; Pseudomonadota; Gammaproteobacteria; Enterobacterales; Enterobacteriaceae.
UUAAUUGAAGAGUUUGAUCAUGGCUCAGAUUGAACGCUGGCGGCAGGCCUAACACAUGCAAGUCGAACGGUAACAGGGAGCAGCUUGCUGCUCUGCUGACGAGUGGCGGACGGGUGAGUAAUGUCUGGGAAACUGCCUGAUGGAGGGGGAUAACUACUGGAAACGGUAGCUAAUACCGCAUAACGUCUACGGACCAAAGUGGGGGACCUUCGGGCCUCAUGCCAUCAGAUGUGCCCAGAUGGGAUUAGCUAGUAGGUGAGGUAACGGCUCACCUAGGCGACGAUCCCUAGCUGGUCUGAGAGGAUGACCAGCCACACUGGAACUGAGACACGGUCCAGACUCCUACGGGAGGCAGCAGUGGGGAAUAUUGCACAAUGGGCGCAAGCCUGAUGCAGCCAUGCCGCGUGUAUGAAGAAGGCCUUCGGGUUGUAAAGUACUUUCAGCGGGGAGGAAGGUGUUGUGGUUAAUAACCACAGCAAUUGACGUUACCCGCAGAAGAAGCACCGGCUAACUCCGUGCCAGCAGCCGCGGUAAUACGGAGGGUGCAAGCGUUAAUCGGAAUUACUGGGCGUAAAGCGCACGCAGGCGGUUGAUUAAGUCAGAUGUGAAAUCCCCGGGCUCAACCUGGGAACUGCAUUUGAAACUGGUCAGCUUGAGUCUCGUAGAGGGGGGUAGAAUU